GAGCAUGACGGCAAGUGACGAUUUUCCCGGUUGAUCCCGCCGGGACUGACUGCUAUCGGAUUGAUACUAAGCCAUGCGAGUCAUUGUAGUAAUACAAGGCAGACGGCUCAGUAACGCGUAGUCAACCUACCCUAUGGACGGGGAUAACCUCGGGAAACUGAGAAUAAUACCCGAUAGAACAUUAUGCCUGGAAUGGUUUAUGUUUCAAAUAAUUUAUUGCCGUAGGAUGGGACUGCGGCCUAUCAGUUUGUUGGUGAGGUAAUGGCCCACCAAGACUAUUACAGGUACGGGCUCUGAGAGGAGUAGCCCGGAGAUGGGUACUGAGACACGGACCCAGGCCCUAUGGGGCGCAGCAGGCGAGAAAACUUUGCAAUGUGCGAAAGCACGACAAGGUUAAUCCGAGUGGUUUCUGCUAAAGGAACCUUUUGUCAGUCCUAGAAACACUGGUGAAUAAGGGGUGGGCAAGUUCUGGUGUCAGCCGCCGCGGUAAAACCAGCACCUCAAGUGGUCAGGAUGAUUAUUGGGCCUAAAGCAUCCGUAGCCUGCUUUGUAAGUUUUCGGUUAAAUCCAUACGCUCAACGUAUGGGCUGCCGGGAAUACUGCAAAGCUAGGGAGUGGGAGAGGUAGACGGUACUCGGUAGGAAGGGGUAAAAUCCUUUGAUUUAUUGAUGACCACCUGUGGCGAAGGCGGUCUACCAGAACACGUCCGACGGUGAGGGAUGAAAGCUGGGGGAGCAAACCGGAUUAGAUACCCGGGUAGUCCCAGCUGUAAACUAUGCAAACUCAGUGAUGCAUUGGCUUGAUGCCAAUGCAGUGCUGCAGGGAAGCCGUUAAGUUUGCCGCCUGGGAAGUACGUACGCAAGUAUGAAACUUAAAGGAAUUGGCGGGGGAGCACCACAAGGGGUGAAGCCUGCGGUUCAAUUGGAUUCAACGCCGGA
RNAcentral lists this ribosomal RNA (938 nucleotides) under uncultured archaeon. Its description in RNAcentral is "bacterial SSU rRNA". It matches the Rfam family "Archaeal small subunit ribosomal RNA", at positions 1 to 922 of the family's 1478-position model. The record is from RNAcentral.